Molecule: ribosomal RNA, 253 nt
Filed under: uncultured bacterium
Lineage: Bacteria
Description: partial 16S ribosomal RNA
Rfam family: Bacterial small subunit ribosomal RNA
Source: RNAcentral
UACAGAGGUGGCAAGCGUUGUUCGGAAUUACUGGGCGUAAAGCGCGCGCAGGCGGUCCUUUAAGUCUGAUGUGAAAGCCCACGGCUCAACCGUGGAGGGUCAUUGGAAACUGGGGGACUUGAGUGCAGAAGAGAAGAGUGGAAUUCCGCGUGUAGCAGUGAAAUGCGUAGAGAUGCGGAGGAACACCGAUGGCGAAGGCAGCCCCCUGGGCCAACACUGACGCUCAGGCACGAAAGCGUGGGGAGCAAACAGG